RNAcentral lists this ribosomal RNA (1069 nucleotides) under epibiont metagenome. RNAcentral's name for it is "bacterial SSU rRNA". It matches the Rfam family "Bacterial small subunit ribosomal RNA", at positions 213 to 1221 of the family's 1533-position model. The record is from RNAcentral.
ACUGUUAGGUUGAAUGGGAUAUAUGGUAUCAGUUAGUUGGUGGGGUAAAGGCCUACCAAGACAAUGACGCCUAGCUGGUCUGAGAGGAUGAUCAGCCACACUGGAACUGAGACACGGUCCAGACUCCUACGGGAGGCAGCAGUGGGGAAUAUUUGCACAAUGGGGGAAACCCUGAUGCAGCAACGCCGCGUGGAGGAAGAAACCCUUAGGGGCGUAAACUCCUUUUAUCAAGGAAGAAGAUGACGGUACUUGAUGAAUAAGCACCGGCUAACUCCGUGCCAGCAGCCGCGGUAAUACGGAGGGUUGCAAGCGUUACUCGGAAUCACUGGGCGUAAAGCGCAUGUAGGCGGUUAAUUAAGUUAGAAGUGAAAGCCCACAGUUAACUGUGGAACAGUUCUAAAAUGAUUAAUAGAGUCUGGGAGAGGAAGAUGGAAUUAGUAGUGUAGGGGUAAAAUCCGUAGAGAUUACUAGGAAUACCGAAAGCGAAGGCGAUCUUCUGGAACAGUACUGACGCUGAGAUGCGAAAGCGUGGGGAGCAAACAGGAUUAGAUACCCUGGUAGUCCACGCCCUAAACGAUGAAUGUAGUCGUUGGAGUGCUAGCCACUUCAGUGAUGCAGCUAACGCAUUAAACAUUCCGCCUGGGGAGUACGGCCGCAAGGUUAAAACUCAAGGAAUAGACGGGGACCCGCACAAGUGGUGGAGCAUGUGGUUUAAUUCGAAGAUACGGCGAAGACCUUACCUGGCUUGACUAUACCAGAACCUGGCCAAGAAGAUUGGGUGGGGGGUGGCCUUCCGGGGGAACCUGGGGUAUACACAGGGUGGCUUGGCACCGGGGUUGGGCCGGCCAAGCUCCGGUGGUCCGUGGAGAAUGGUUGGGGGUUAAAGGUCCCGGGAAAGGAGGGAAACCCUUGGGGACCUAGGUUUACUUAACAAGGCUUAAAGGGUGGGGAGACUCCUAAGUGUCCAAGAUUGGGGCCUUUCGGGAAAGGGGGGAGACACUGGGGGGGCACAGACGUGGUCCAAGGUGCUUCCUUGGGGGCCCUUUAAGGGGCCAGGGGGAGAACACAC